UACGUAGGGUGCGAGCGUUAAUCGGAAUUACUGGGCGUAAAGCGUGCGCAGGCGGUGAUGUAAGACAGUUGUGAAAUCCCCGGGCUCAACCUGGGAAUUGCAUUUGUGACUGCACGGCUAGAGUGUGUCAGAGGGGGGUAGAAUUCCACGUGUAGCAGUGAAAUGCGUAGAGAUGUGGAGGAAUACCGAUGGCGAAGGCAGCCCCCUGGGAUAACACUGACGCUCAUGCACGAAAGCGUGGGGAGCAAACAGG
Molecule: ribosomal RNA, 253 nt
Filed under: uncultured bacterium
Lineage: Bacteria
Description: partial 16S ribosomal RNA
Rfam family: Bacterial small subunit ribosomal RNA
Source: RNAcentral